Molecule: long non-coding RNA, 10579 nt
Filed under: Homo sapiens (human)
Lineage: Eukaryota; Metazoa; Chordata; Mammalia; Primates; Hominidae
Description: HSALNT0123818
Source: RNAcentral
AUUACAGGCGUGAGCCACUGCACCUGGCCAAUUUUUGUAUUUUUAGUAGAGACAGGGUUUUGCCAUGUUUGCCAGGCUGGUCUCGAACUCCUGACCUCAGGUGGUCUGCCUGCCUCAGCCUCCCAAAGUGCUGGGAUUACAAUUGUUAGCCACCACAGCUCGGCCAGUUCACAUGUUUUGUGUUUUUAUUUAUUUAUUUAUUUGUUUGUUUUUGAUUUUUUUUGUAUCUGUGUCUUAUCAUACAAUUAAAAAAUUAAAGAUUAUUUCAAAACCAAAUCCUCUAAUUUUUUUCCCAGGAAGUCCUUCAUGGACAUAAAACUGAAGUAAGUGGAUUGGAUAGAACUGGAAUCAAAAGUGACUCCUGGAUUUACAUAACAGAGCAAGGCAAGAAUCACAAAAACAUCACAAGGCCAUGUAUAGCUUAUAACAAGUUUGUUUUACAAACUCCUCCAAUGUAUUGCAAGGAUAGAGUACUUUGUAAGAUGGUCAGGAAUGGCUUUCCAGAAAAAGCAGGGCAGGAGCCAAAGCUUUUUUGUUGUUGUUGUUGUUGUUGUUGAGAUGGAGCCUCAAUCUGUCAUCCAGGCUGGAGUGCAGUGGCACAAUCUCAGCUCACUGCAACCUCUGCCUCCCAGGUUCAAGCGAUUCUCCUGCCUUAGCCCCCUGAGUAGCUGGGAUUACAGGCACCUGUCCAGCUAAUUUUUAUAUUUUUGUAGAGACGGGGUUUCACCAUGUUGCUCAGCCUGGCCUCGAACUCCUGAUUUCAAGUGAUCCACCUGCCUCCACCACCCAAAGUGCUGGGAUUACAGAUGUGAGCCACCGCGCCAGGCCAGGAGCCAAAUCUUGAGUUAGGAUUUGGAUACUUGAAACAGGCAUGCUGUAUAAGCAGAUGGAACUGAAUACACAAAAGCACAGAGAAGGGAAAACACAAAAUAUCUUCGCACAAUGUUCUUUCCUCCACUGGUUAACUUCUACUUAUCCUUCGUGUCCAAACAUUACUUGCUCAAAGAACUUUUCCUGUGUCUCCCAGAAAAGGUCAGGUUCUUAGCGCACUCUCCUUUGUAACUCUUACCACAGUUGUAAUUCAGUGGUGAAUUGUGAUCUUGGUCAUUUAGCAUCUCCUCUCCCAGAAGGCAGGGGACCUGGUUGUCUGAGUCAUAUCAUGUCUCCACUGCCUAGUCCUAACUAAGCCUUGCACUGCGUAGUCCUAAACCUUGCGUCAUAGACACUCAAUAAAAAUUGAUGAAAAUUUACGUGCGAACCCAUUCAGCUGGAAUAGAAGGUUCUGCAAGAUAAUUUUUUUUCUUAAGACAGAGUCUCACUCUGUCAUUCAGGGUGGGUUGCAGCAGUACAGUCACGGCUUACUGCAGCCUGGACCUCCCGGGCUCAAACCAUUCUCCCACCUGAGCCUCCUGAGUAGCUGGUACUACAGAUGUGUGCCACCAUGCCAGAUAAUUAAAUUUUUUUUGUAUGUGUGUGACGGAAUCACGCUUUGUUGCCCAGGCUGGAGUGCAAUGGCACAAUCUUGGCUCACUGCAACCUCCACCUCCCGGUUCAAGCGAUUCUCCUGCCUCAGCCUCCCCGAGUAGCUGGGACUACAGGUGUGCACCACCAUGCAUGGCUACUUUUUGUAUUUUUAGUAGAGAUGGGGUUUUGCCAGGUUGGCCAGGCUGGUCUUGAACUCCUGACUUCAGGUGAUCCACCCGUCUCAGCCUCCCAAAGUGCUGGGAUUACAGGCGCAAGUCACUGCGCCUGGCCUAAAAAAAUUUUUUAUAGAGAUGGGGAAUCACUUUGUUGCCUAACCUGGCAACAAAUUGCUGACCUCAAGUGAUCCUCCGGCCUCAGGCACCAAAAGUGCUGGGAUUACAGGCAAGAGCCACUGCACUCAGCCACAAGAGAUUUAAAGUUGGAAAUAUUAUUGGAAGCCAAAUGGUGAAUGACCUAGAAUGUUAAGAGUUAAAUGCUUAGUUUAUUUUUUUCUCUUUCUCAACAUGAAAAAUGUAUUGUCUCACAGUCCAAAGGCUAGAGGUAAUGACAGGGUUGAUUCCUUUUUUUUUUUUUUUGACACAGGGUCUCACUCUGUCACCCAGGCUAAAGUGUUAAAGUGUAGUGGUGCAAUCUUGGCUCACUGCAACCUCCACCUCCUGGGCUCAACCUCCUGGGCUCAUCCUCAGCCUCCUGAGUAGCUGGGACUACAGGUGCACACCACCAUGCACAGCUAAGUUUUGGAUUUUUUUUAGAGAUGGGGUUUUGCCACGUUGCCCAGGCUGAUCUCAAACUCUUGCGUUCAGGUCACCUGCCCGCCUAGCCUCCCAAAGUGCUGGGGUCACAGGUGGGAGCCAGGUUUGUUCCUUCUGAGAGCUCUGUUCCAGACCCCUCUCCUUGGUUUAUAGUUGGCUGUCUUCUCACGUGUCUCUUCACAUCAUCUCUCUACGUGUGUCUCUGUGUCCAAAUUUCCCCUUUUUAUAAGGACAACAGUCAUAUUGGACUGGGGCUCACCCAAAUGACCUCAUUUCAACUUGAUUACCAGUGUCAAAAAACCUAGUCUCCAAAUAAGGUCACAUCUGAGAUGCUAAGGGUGAGGUUUCCAACCUAUCUGUUUUGCUGAUGCAUGGUGCAGUGGCUCAUGCCUGUAAUCCCAGCACUUUGGGAAGCCAAGGUGGGAGGAUCCCUUGAGGCCUGGAGUUCGAGACCAGCAUGGUCAACAUGGCAAAAUCCAUCUCUACUAAAAAUACAAAAAUUAGCCGGGCAUGGUGGUGCACACCUGUAGUCUCAGCUAUCGGGAGGCUGAGGCACAAGAAUUGCUUGAACCUGGGAAUUGGAGGUUGCAGUGUGCCAAGAUCACACCACUACAUUCCAGUCUGGGCAACAGAGUGAGACCCUGUCUCAGAAAAAAAAAAAAAAAAAGCAGAGAUAUCUAAAUUGUCUUUGUAUUUCACAUGCCUUGAACCAUUUUUAUUUAAUUUUUUUUUGAGACGAAGUCUCGUUCUUGUUGUCCAGGCUGGAGUGCAGUGGCACAGUCUUGGCUCACCACAACCUCCGCUUCCUGGGUUCAAGCAAUUCUCGUGCCUCAGCCUCCUCAGUAGCUGGGACUGCAGGCACCCGCCACCAGGCCUGGCUAAUUUUUGUAUUUUUAGUAGAGACAGGGUUUCGCCAUGUUGGCCAGGCUGGUCUCAAACUCCUGACUUCAGGUGAUCCACCCACCUCAGUCUCCCAAAGUGCUAGGAUUACAGGCGUGAGCCAUCAUGCCUGGUCUAAUUUUUUUUUUUUUAAUUUUUGAGACAGGGUCUCUCUCUGUUGCCUAGGCUGGAGUGCAGUGGUGCGAACACAGCUGACCGCAGUCUUGACUUCCUGGGCUCAAGCAGUUCUCUUCCCUCAGCCUCCUGAGUAGCUGAGACUACAAGCACAUGCCACCAUAACCAGCUAAUUUUUUUAAUUUUUGUAGAGAUGAAGUCUGACCAUGUUUCCCAGGCUGGUCUGGAACUCCUGGGUUCAAGUGAGCCUCCCACCUUGGCCUCCCAAAGUGCUGGGAUCACACGCGUGAGCCACCGUGCGUGCCCUGCCUUAACAGUUUUUAAGUGUGCAGUCUAGUGAUAUUAAAUAUAUUUAAAAUGUUGUAAACCAUCACUACCAUCUAUCUCCACAACUCUUUUCAUCUCGUAAAACAAAAAACAUAUACCUAUUAAACAAUAACUUCCAACCCCUCUCCACCCACCCCCUGGAGACCACCAUUUUACUUUCUGUCUCUAUGAUUUUGACUAUGCUAAGUACCUUCUAUAAGUGGAAUCAUACAAUAUUUUUUGUGUGUAACUGGCUUACUUCAUCUAGCAUAAUAUCCCUAAGGGUCAUCCAUAUUGUAAUGUCUGAAAAUUUUUUUGUUUUUUAAGGCUGAAUAAUAUUUCAUUGUAUGUAUAUGCCACAUUUGGCUUAUCCAUUUAUUCACUGAUGAACACUGAUUGUUUCCAUAUUGUGUGUGUGUAUGUGUGUGUGUGUGUGUGUGUGUGUGUAUGGUUUUUUUUUGGAGACAGAGUCUCACUCUGUUGCCCAGGCUGGAGUGCAGUGGUGUGAUCUCCAUUCACUGCAACCACCACCUCCUGGGUUCAGGUGAUUCUCCUGCCUCAGCUUCCCGAGUAGCUAGGACUACAGGCAUGUGCCACGAUGCUGGGUUACUUUUUGUUGUUGUUGUUGUUUUGGUAGAGACAGGGUUUCACCAUGUUGGCCAGGCUGGUCUCCAAAUCCUAACCUCAAGUGAUCCACCUGCCUCGGCCUCCCAAAGUGCUGGGUGACUGGUGUGAGCCACUGCGCCCAGACUGUUUCCAUUUUUUGCUACCGUGAAUAAGACUGCUGUGAACAUGGGUGUAUAAAUAUUUUUUCAAGACCUUGCUUUCAAUUAUUUUGUGUAUACAGUCAUCCCUCAGUAUCCACAGGGGAUUGGUUCUAGGACACACUGAGGAUAUCAUAAUCCACAGAUGCUCAAGUCAUUUAUUUAAAAUGAGGUGGUAUUUGCAUAUAAUCUAUGCAUAUCCUCUUGUAUACUUUAAAUCAUCUUUAGAUUACUUAUAAUACCCAAUACAAUGUAAAUGCUGUGUAAAUAGUUGUUAUACUGUAUUGUUUAGGGAAUAAUGAUAGAAGAAAAGGUAUGUACAUCUUCAGAACAGACACAAUCAUCAUAGGCCUAACUACAAUGUCCAUGUGUAGCUGGUUGAAUCAACAUGCAGAACCCAUGGAUACAGAGGGCGAGCUAUAUACAAAGAUAUGGAAUUGCUACAUUGUAUAAUAAUUCUAUUUUUAAUUUUUUGAGGAAUUGCUACACUGUUUUCCAUAGUAGCUGCACCAUUUUAAAUUGCCAGCAACAGUGCAUAAGGGUUCCACUUUCUCCAUAUCCUCUCCAACACUUGUUAUUUCUGGCAUCUUAGUUACUUUCUUUUUAAUAGUAACUAAAGGACACUUUUACAUGUAUAGAAUCCUUAGUUGACAGGUUUUUUUUUUUUCUUUUGAGACAGUCUUGCUGUCGCCCAGGCUGGAGUGCAGUGGCGCGAUCUCAGCUCACUGCAACCUCUGCCUCCUGGGUUCAAGUGAUUCUCCUGCCUCAGCCUCCAGAGUAGCUGGGAUUACAGGUGCCUGCCACCACGCCCAGCUAAUUUUUGUGUUUUUAGUAGAGAUGAGGUUUCACCAUGUUGGCCAGGCUGGUCUUGAACUGCUGACCUCAGGUGACCUGCCUGCCUUAGUCUCCCAAAGUGCUGGCAUUACAGGCAUGAGCCACCAUGCCUGGACUGUUUGUUCUUUUCUGUUUGCUCCUCAAAGUAAUUUCAAAUGUACUUUCUUCAAGUUUGUUCAUUCUCUUCUACCUGCUCGAUCCUUCCAUUGACUCUACUGAAUUUUUCAGUUUAGUUAUUGUAUUUUUCAUCUCCAGAAUUUUUGCUUAGGUUCUUUUUAUAAUUUCUAUCUCUUUAUUGAUAUUCUCAUUUUAUUAAUAUAUAAUUUUGCUGAUUUCCUUUAGUUCUUUGUCCAUGCUUUUCUUUAACUAUUCAAGCAUAUUUAAGAUGGUUUUAAGGUCUUUGUCUAGUAAGUCUGAUACCUGUGUCUCUUCAGGAAUAAUUUCUUUAUUUUCUUUUUAUGAGAUGCAGUCUUGCUCUGUGACUCAGGCUGGAGUGCAGUGGUGCAAUCUCAACUCACUGCAACCUCCCGGGUUCAAGUGAUUCUCCUGCCUUAGCCUCUUGAGUAGCUGGGAUUACAGGUGCCCACCACCACACCCAGCUCAUUUUUGUAUUUUUAGUAGAGACGGGGUUUCACCAUGUUGGCCAGGCUGGUCUUGAACUCCUGACCUCAAGUGAUCUGCCUGCCUCGGCCUCCCAAAGUGCUGGGAUUAGAGGCGUGAGCUAGUGCUCCCAGCCUCUCCAGAUAUAAUUUCUGCCACUUCAUUUUCUUCCUUGAAAUAGUCCAUGUUACCUUGGUUUUUUUUUUUUUUUUUUUUUUUGAGACGGAGUCUUGCUCUUUUGCCCAGGCCAGACUGCAGUGGCGCUAUCUCGGCUCACUGCAAGCUCCACCUCCCGGGUUCAUGCCAUUCUCCUGCCUCAGCCUCCAGAGUAGCUGGGACUACAGAAGUCCGCCACCACGCCCGGCUAAUAUUUUGUAUUUGUAGUAGAGAAGGGUUUCACCGUGUUAGCCAGGGUGGUCUUGAUCUCCUGGCCUCGUGAUCCACCUGCCUCAGCCUCCCAAAGUGCUGGGAUUACAGGCGUGAGCCACCGCACCCGGCCUUGUUUUUUUAAAUACAAUUUGUGAUUUUUGUUGUUGGAAAGUAGGCAUUUGAAAAGGCAGCCAUUUCUUUGUCUGCAGAUUGGGUCUGUGCCAGUGAACUCCUUCACUAAUUAGCAGGACAUUUUUUGUGUCUUGGGAUCGGCCUGAGGAGAAAGCAAAAUGUCUUGGUCCAUUUUGUGCUGCUAUUACAGAAUAUUACAGACUGGGUACUUUACAGAGAACAGAAAUGUAUUUCUCACAGUUCUGGAGGCUGGAAAGUCCAAGCAGAAGGUGCCCACAUCUGGUGUGAUAAGGGCUUUCUUGCUGGAUCCUCACAUGGCACAAGGCAGAGGGUACAAAGGGAUGAAAUGUGUGUCCUCACAUGGCAGUAAGCCCUUUAUACAGUGGUAUUAAUCCAUUAAUGAGGGCAGAGCCCUCAUGACCUCCCAUUAGGCCCCACCUCCCAAUACUAUUGUAAUGGGGAUUACAUUUCAACAUAAAUUUUUGGAGAAGAGAAAAACAUUCAAACCAUAGCAUUCUCCCCUAGCUCCCCUAAUCCAUAUCUUUCUCACAUCCAAAAUAUCUUCAUUCCAUCCUAAUAACCCCAAGAAGUCUUAAUUUGUUUCAGCAUCACCCUUAAAAGUCUAAGCUUCAAAGUCUUAUCUAAAUCAUGCUGGGUGAGGUGGCUCACGCCUGUAACUUUGGGAGCACUUUGGGAGGCUGAGGCAGGGGGAUCAUUUGAGGUCAGGAGUUCGAGAAAACCUGGCCAACAUGGAGAAACCCCAUCUCUACUAAAAAUACAAAAAUUAGCCAGGUGUGGUGGUGCAUGCCUUUAGUCCCAGCUACUUGGGAGGCUAAGGGAAGGGAACUGCUUGAACCCAGGAGGUGGAGGUUGCAGUAGUGAGCUGAGAUCACACCACUGUACUCCAGCCUGGGCAACAGAGCAAGACUCCACCUUAAAAAAACAAAGCAAAAGCCUUGUCUGGGAAAUCUGCUGGUCCCCUUAUUAAUUUUCUUUCUUUUUAGAUGGAGUCUCACUCUGUCACCCAGGCUGGAGUGUAGUGGUGUGAUCUCAGCUCACUUCAACCUCCAUCUCCCAGGUUCAAGCCAUUCUCAUGCCUCAGCCUCCUGAGUAGUUGGGACUACAGGCUGCACCACUGCAUCUGGCUAGUUUUGGUAUUUUUGUAGAGACAGGGUUUCACCAUGCUGACCAGGCUGGUCUCAAACUCCUGACCUCAGGUAAGCCACCUGUCUCAGUCUCCAAGUGCUGGAAUUACAGGCAAGAGCCACCACACCUGGCCCCAGACAAGGCUUUUAUUUCGGGGCUUGUGCCCCAGUACAAGGACGCUCCAGCUGACUCUCUGAAAAAAGCCAGUAGGAGUGCUUUUUUUUAAUUAGACAAAGUGUGGGAAUUGACAUCAGGGGUAAGGUUUGCAGGCUGAGCUGGUAGCACAUGAUGGGCAAGGCAUGCAAGUCGGCAUAUCUGGUUGCAAUGGUUAUCUUGGGUAAUGGACAAUUUAGUGGUCUGGCCGGUGACAAAAGGGCUGUAAAUCAAUUACUCAGCAUUUCUUCCUGAGGUGGAACACUCCCCAACCUCACUCUGAUAUUUAGAUUUUCUAAGGCCAGUUCCUGGAAUUUUUUUUUUUCUUUGAGACAGAGUCUCACUCUGUCCCCCAGGCUAGAGUGCAGUGGCACAAUCUUGGCUCACUGCAACCUCUGCUUCUGAAUUCAGUUCAAGCAAUUCUCGUGCCUCAGCCUCCAGAGUAGGUGGGACUACAAACGCAUGCCACCACACUCAGCUAAUUUUUUGUAUUUUUAGUAGAGACGGGAUUUUGCCAUGUUGCCCAGGCUGGUCUCGAACUCCUGAGCUCAGGUGACAGGUGAUCCACCCACCUUGGCCUCCCAAAGUGCUGGGAUUACAGGCACGAGCCACACACCUGGCUUAUUUCCUGGAAUUCUUUAAGUGAAAGGCAUGGUUAAACAUUAUGGCAUCAGUGAGGUAGUGGUGUGGGGUUUUUUGUUGUUGUUUUUUAAUUUUUGUGGGUACAUAGUAGGUGUAUUAUUUAUGGAUUACAUGAGAUGUUUUGAUAGUCAUGCAAUGUGUAAUAAUCACAUCAUAGAAAAUGGGGUAUCCAUCCCUUCAAGCACUUACCCUUUGUGUUAUAAGCAAUCUAGGAUGGGUGCAGUGGCUCAUACCUGUAAUCCCAGCACUUUGGGAGGCCGAGGCAGGUGAAUCACCUUAGGUCAGGAGUUCAAGAUCAGCCUGGCCAACAUGGUGAAACCCCCAUCUCUACUUAAAAAAAAAAAAAAAAAAAUUAGCCAGGUACGGUGGCGCUUGCCUAUAAUCCCAGCUACUCUGGAGCUGAGGAGGGAGAGUUGCUUAGAACCCAGGGGCAGAGGUUGCAGUGAGCCGAGAUCGUGCCACUAUAGUCCAGCCUGGGCAACAGAGUGAGACUUGGUCUCAAAAACAAAAACAAACAAACAAACAAACAAAAUCUAUACUUUUAGUUAUUCUUAUUUUUAAAUUUUAAUUAUUUUGAGACACAGUUUCGCUUUGUCACUAGGGCUGGAGUGUAGUUGCGUAAUCUCAACUCACUGCAACCUCUGCCACCUGGGUUCAAGUGACUCUCCUGCCUCAGCCUUCUGAGUAGCUGGGAUUACAGGCGCACACCACCACACCUGGAUAAUUUUUGUAUUUUUAGUAAAGGUGGGGUUUCACCAUGUUCGCCUGGCUGGUCUCAAACUCCUGACCUCAGGUGAUCCAAAAGCGCUGGGAUUACAGGCAUGAGCGACCAUGCCUGGCCAUUAUUUUUUUAAUUUUUAAUUUUUGUGGGUAGAUAGUAGGUGUAUAUAUUUAUGGGAUACUUUGAUACAGGUAUGCAAUGCAUAAUAAUCACAGGGUAAAGGGGGUAUCCAUCCCCUCAAGCAUUUAUUCUUUGUGUUACAAACAAUGCAAUUAUGCUCUUUAUUUUUAAAUUGAGGCUGGACACGGUAGCUCACCCAUGUAAUUCCAGCACUUUGGGUGGCUAAGGCAAGCGUAUUGCUUGUGCUCAGGAGUUUGAGACCAGCUUGGGCAAUGAGAUAAAACCCCGUCUCUACAAAAAAAUACAAAAAAAUUAGCCUGGUGUGGUGGCACACACCUGUGGUCCCAGCUACUCGGGAGGCUGAGGUGGGAGGAUUGCUUGAGCCCAGGUUGCUUGAGCCCAUGAGCUGAGACUGCACCACUGCACUCCAACCUGGGUGACAGAAUGAGACCUUGUCUCAAAAAAAAAAAAAAAAAAGUACAAUAAAUCUUUGAUUGUAGUCACCCUGUUGUGCUAUCAAAUACUAGAUCUUAUUCCUUCUAUCUAAUUAUAUUGUUGUAUCCAUUAGCCAUCCCCCCCAACCCCCACUACCCUUCCUAGCCUCUGAUAACCAUUCUUCAAAUCUCUACCUCCAUUAAUUAAGUUGUUUUAAUUUUUUUUUAUUUUUUUUUUGAGACAGAGUCUCACUCUGUUACCCAGGCUGGAGUACAGUGGCACGAUCUCAGCUCACUGAAACCUCCGCCUCCCGGGUUCAAGCAAUUCUCCUGCCUCAACCUCCCAAGUAGCUGGGAUACAGUUGCCUGCCACCACACCCAGCUACUUUUUGCAUUUUUAGUAGAAAUGGGGUUUCACCAUGUUGGCCAGGCUGGUCUUGAAUUCCUGACCUCAUGAUCCACCCUCCUUGGCCUCCCAAAGUGCUGGGAUUACAGGCGUGAGCCACUGAGCCUGGCCAAUUUUUAUUUCUGAAACAUUUAUUAUUAAUGUGAUGGGAAAAUUACACAGAAUAUAUGUUCAUUUCUUAUAAAGUUAAGUCUUCCAGAACCUGGUUUAACAAAAAACUGAGGUUAAAUUCAGGUCUCAAAUAUAGAAACUUAAACUUUUCUUGAAAUCCAAUUAAAAAUGUAGAUCUAGGCUGGGCGAGGUGGCUCACGCCUGUAAUCCCAGCACUUUGGGAGGCUGAGGUGGGCAAGGUCAGGAGAUUGAGACCAUCCUGGCUAACACGGUGAAACCCUGUCUCUACUAAAAAAUACAAAAAAUUAGCCCAGCUACUCGGGAGGCAGAGGAAGGCGAAUGGCAUGAACCCAGGAGGCGGAGCUUGCAGUGAGCCUAGAUGGCGCCACUGCACUCCAGCCUGGGUGACAGAGCGAGACUCCGUCUCAAAAAAAAAAAAAAAAAAAAAAAGUAGAUCUAAAUAGAGUCAGUCUUUUAAGAAAAAAAUCACACAUUUUAGCCUCAGUCAGAUUUCACUUUAUUUGUAUCGAUGACAAUAUUAACUCUUCAGAUUUAUAAAAUGACAAAACUUGAUAAUUACCUGGAAACAA